GACUGUGUGGCCUAAUGGAUAAGGCGUCGGGCUUCGGAUUCCAAGGUUGCAGGUUCGAGUCCUGUCACGGUCG
Molecule: transfer RNA, 73 nt
Filed under: Heliconius melpomene (postman butterfly)
Lineage: Eukaryota; Metazoa; Arthropoda; Insecta; Lepidoptera; Nymphalidae
Description: tRNA HMEL013666
Rfam family: tRNA
About the family: Transfer RNA (tRNA) molecules are approximately 80 nucleotides in length. Their secondary structure includes four short double-helical elements and three loops (D, anti-codon, and T loops). Further hydrogen bonds mediate the characteristic L-shaped molecular structure. tRNAs have two regions of fundamental functional importance: the anti-codon, which is responsible for specific mRNA codon recognition, and the 3' end, to which the tRNAs corresponding amino acid is attached (by aminoacyl-tRNA synthetases). tRNAs cope with the degeneracy of the genetic code in two manners: having more than one tRNA (with a specific anti-codon) for a particular amino acid; and 'wobble' base-pairing, i.e. permitting non-standard base-pairing at the 3rd anti-codon position.
Source: RNAcentral